AAAGAUUAAGCCAUGCAUGUCUAAGUAUAAGCAAUCUAUACGGUGAAACUGCGAAUGGCUCAUUAAAUCAGUUAUCGUUUAUUUGAUAGUACCUAACCUACUUGGAUAACCGUGGUAAUUCUAGAGCUAAUACAUGCUAAAAACCUCGACUUCGGAAGGGGUGUAUUUAUUAGAUAAAAAACCAAUGCCCUUCGGGGCUCCUUGGUGAUUCAUAAUAACUCAACGAAUCGCAUGGCCUUGCGCCGGCGAUGGUUCAUUCAAAUUUCUGCCCUAUCAACUUUCGAUGGUAGGAUAGUGGCCUACCAUGGUGUUAACGGGUAACGGGGAAUUAGGGUUCUAUUCCGGAGAGGGAGCCUGAGAAACGGCUACCACAUCCAAGGAAGGCAGCAGGCGCGCAAAUUACCCAAUCCCGACACGGGGAGGUAGUGACAAUAAAUACUGAUACAGGGCCCUUUCGGGUCUUGUAAUUGGAAUGAGUACAAUUUAAAUCCCUACCGAGAAACACUUUG
This 509-nucleotide ribosomal RNA is filed under the name uncultured Leptodontidium. Its description in RNAcentral is "SSU rRNA". It matches the Rfam family "Eukaryotic small subunit ribosomal RNA", at positions 39 to 551 of the family's 1831-position model. Lineage: Eukaryota; Fungi; Ascomycota. The record is from RNAcentral.